This 564-nucleotide ribosomal RNA is filed under the name uncultured organism. Its description in RNAcentral is "bacterial SSU rRNA". It matches the Rfam family "Bacterial small subunit ribosomal RNA", at positions 49 to 600 of the family's 1533-position model. The record is from RNAcentral.
UUUAGCAUGCAAGUCGACCGGUAGAAUUUCAUCGGACUUUUGAGAGUGGCGAACGGGUGAGUAACACGUAGGUAAUCUGUCUUAGGGGUUGGGGAUAGCCGAUGGGGACAUGGGGUAAUACCGAAUAGCUCCCUUUCAGCACAAGCGGGAAGGGGGAAAGGCGCUUAGGCGCCGCCUUAGGGUGAGCCUGCGGUCCAUUAGUUAGUUGGUGGGGUAAGAGCCUACCAAGGCAGCGAUGGAUAGCCGGCCUGAGAGGGUGAACGGCCACACUGGGACUGAGACACGGCCCAGAGUCCUACGGGAGGCAGCAGCUAAGAAUCUUCCGCAAUGGGCGAAAGCCUGACGGAGCGAUGCCGCGUGAGUGAAGAAGGCGGGAACGUUGUAAAACUCUUUUCUCGGGGAGGAAUAAGGAGGGGAGGAAAUGCCCCUUUGAUGACGCGAACCGAGGAAUAAGCCCCGGCUAAUUACGUGCCAGCAGCCGCGGUAACACGUAAGGGGCGAGCGUUGUUCGGAAUUAUUGGGCGUAAAGGGCGUGUAGGCGGCGAUGUUAGCCUGGUGUGAAAG